This 409-nucleotide ribosomal RNA is filed under the name Salmonella enterica subsp. enterica serovar Hadar. RNAcentral's name for it is "partial 23S ribosomal RNA". It matches the Rfam family "Bacterial large subunit ribosomal RNA", at positions 110 to 559 of the family's 2925-position model. The record is from RNAcentral. Lineage: Bacteria; Pseudomonadati; Pseudomonadota; Gammaproteobacteria; Enterobacterales; Enterobacteriaceae.
AUUUCCGAAUGGGGAAACCCAGUGUGAUUCGUCACACUAUCAUUAACUGAAUCCAUAGGUUAAUGAGGCGAACCGGGGGAACUGAAACAUCUAAGUACCCCGAGGAAAAGAAAUCAACCGAGAUUCCCCCAGUAGCGGCGAGCGAACGGGGAGGAGCCCAGAGCCUGAAUCAGCAUGUGUGUUAGUGGAAGCGUCUGGAAAGGCGCGCGAUACAGGGUGACAGCCCCGUACACAAAAGCGCAUGUGCUGUGAGCUCGAUGAGUAGGGCGGGACACGUGGUAUCCUGUCUGAAUAUGGGGGGACCAUCCUCCAAGGCUAAAUACUCCUGACUGACCGAUAGUGAACCAGUACCGUGAGGGAAAGGCGAAAAGAACCCCGGCGAGGGGAGUGAAAAAGAACCUGAAACCGU